Dromiciops gliroides (monito del monte) is the source of this 453-nucleotide long non-coding RNA. RefSeq lists it as uncharacterized. The transcript is spliced from 3 exons. Lineage: Eukaryota; Metazoa; Chordata; Mammalia; Microbiotheria; Microbiotheriidae. The record is from RefSeq and is a predicted model, not a curated record.
GAAAUCACCACGAUGGGCAUUGCACAAUUUGGAACCUGGCAAGGGGAUCUACAGGAAGAAAUGUUUUUGUAAAUCUGCCCUAGAAACAAGUUCGACAAUUUGCAUCCAGUAGACUAGGACGGACCCCCUUUGACUCGGAAUUACCAGGGCAAAAUUUUUCUCAGAAGCAGAUGACUUGAGCUAAACUCAGGAUGAUGAGAACAAGUAUCUGGACCUUUCCCAGGAGCACUUUAGGUGCCGGAUUUAAGACAAAAGUGGAAGUUUAUAUCCCAGUCUUCCUUGUCCCAGUACCAUAUAAAAUGGCAGGUUACGAUGCUUUGGUCUAUGGCUGGAACACCUUAAGGAUCCCACACUUGAGAUCCAAGGAACCACCCUGAAGUAAAAUGAUGAUGACGACAAGCAUUUAUAUGACACUUUAAAAAUGAGCAGACCAGGCACAUCAAUUGAUAAAAA